This 250-nucleotide ribosomal RNA is filed under the name uncultured prokaryote. Its description in RNAcentral is "partial 16S ribosomal RNA". It matches the Rfam family "Bacterial small subunit ribosomal RNA", at positions 524 to 773 of the family's 1533-position model. The record is from RNAcentral.
UACGGGGGGUGCAAGCGUUGUCCGGAAUUAUUGGGCGUAAAGCGUUCGUAGGCGGUACAUUAAGUCUGGUGUUAAAAACUUGGGCUCAACUCAGGAGAGGCAUUGGAUACUGGUGAACUAGAAUGCGGUAGAGGUUAAGGGAAUUCCUGGUGUAGCGGUGAAAUGCGUAGAUAUCAGGAGGAACACCGGUGGCGAAAGCGCUUAACCGGGCCGAAAUUGACGCUGAGGAACGAAAGCCGGGGGAGCAAAU